GAGGUAAAAGUAUAGAAAGAGCUUCUAACUCUAACCUAAAGCGGUUAAAUUCCGUUUAUACCUCU
This 65-nucleotide transfer RNA is filed under the name Sida crystallina. Its description in RNAcentral is "tRNA-Ser". Lineage: Eukaryota; Metazoa; Arthropoda; Branchiopoda; Diplostraca; Sididae. The record is from RNAcentral.